Molecule: non-coding RNA, 363 nt
Organism: Vicia faba (fava bean)
Lineage: Eukaryota; Viridiplantae; Streptophyta; Magnoliopsida; Fabales; Fabaceae
Source: the annotation of a GenBank genome assembly
AUGGUAUCAGAGCCUUCUAAGAGGCAAUUCUUCGUCGUGCUUUACCCGGUUGAUCCACUGUCUUCUGGUGAGAAAUUUUCUUCUGCAAACCGUGUCAUCAUUCCGGUUUGUUUCACCUUUUUUUUUAAAAAAUUUCCAGCGCCCUCCGCCGCCACACUGCCCACGGAAAAAAAAAAUUCGGGAGGUUGUUCACCGCCGCCGCCACUGUUCACCACCGCCGCCACCGUUCAUCGUCGCCGCUACUGUUCACGAAAAAAAAAUUUAUCGAAAAAUCGCAUUCCUCCUCCGGUUCCAGAUCCGCCCUCGGUUUCCGUUUUCAACUCACAGAAGGUCAUACUCUUAUUCAAACAGCCCCAGUUGUUG